RNAcentral lists this long non-coding RNA (6704 nucleotides) under Paramuricea clavata. The stretch from base 1849 to 1921 matches the Rfam family "tRNA". The record is from RNAcentral. Lineage: Eukaryota; Metazoa; Cnidaria; Anthozoa; Malacalcyonacea; Plexauridae.
GGAAACCAUUUUCACAGCAUGGCGCCGAGAACAAACAUCGUCAACAUCGAGCUAUUCAUUAUAUAAACUUGACAGGAGGUUGUAUGUGGUGUAAAUACAUUAUGGGAAUAUUGACUGUUCACAUAUUUACUGAGCUUGAAUUUUGGCUAGUUACGUCGUACCUUUCAAUCAUUUGACAGUACGCUUGAGUUUACAAAUGACUGGAAAUUUAUGUGAGUAUAUAUGCGAUUGAAAUACAUUUGGAAUAUAACUUGUAGCUGCAUUUUAAAAUUGAUCUAAUUGUAAACUCUGUAUGUCUCAAUCCUUUGGAUUCCGAAAACAGUUGUUUGUGUAUGUAUCUCUGUUUAAUUGCCCUUCGUGAGUAGGAAAUUGGAUACUGGUAAAUUACAGUAAAUCCUCUCAUCCAAAUAUUAUUCAUAUUUAUUAUGCUUUAAUUACAAGUGUUUAAAGAGGAAUUAAGGCAUUUACGGGGAAUUAUCCUUUCUUAAGUCUGCUAAUUUUAUUGAUAAAGACAAUUUAGCUCAAAGAAUCGCCUUGUGGACUGGCAAAACCUUUCUCUAAAUGCUUGAAGAUUUGUGUGUAUGUGGAAACGUUUGUGAUGAUAGGCAAAGAGGUAAUUACCGUAUAAAUGUUAUGUUAUCCAUUAUGAUAAAUUCAAUCCAGUGUUAACAUGAUGUUGCUGAAGAUUCUUAAGCUCCACACCCACAACUCAAAUUAAGUUGUACUCAAUGUCGAGGUUGUGUCAUGCCGAUGGUAAAUUACCAAAUGUUGUUUCAGGAUUGUUACAUUGAACUGGGGGAGAGGGGUGACCAAGUCUGUUUUCCCAAUGUACAUUAAUAUUGUCAGGAAUGAUCGCCAGUAUUGUAUCCAACAUUGUAGUUUGCAUGAGAUCCCAGCAGAAGCUCAUGAUAUCGCCAUGAAACCAACUUCAUGUAUUAUUUGUAUGUACUGUACUGUAUUUAAUGAUUGUUGAGGGUUUGUGUAUGGUAAUAUGGGAAACAAUACUAGUAAAUAUGGUAUUUUUUGUUUCCUGUUCAUGAGCAUAAUGUGUUUUUAUUUUAUUUCUGAUGUUUUGUUGUCAUUAAUUAUCAUUACCGGUAAUUACCCAUUGAUCUCCAGUUCCCCUUGACAAGUGAAAUCGUCUGGUGUUAGACAGAGUAAAUAACAAAGUAGGAUGCAUCUAGGGUGCAAUGUAACUUAAUGGGUUAACUAGACACAUCACAUGUGGGCAGAUGUCUGAUGAUUAACCCAUUGAGUGCUAGCACUCUCCCCUUGAUUAAUUAAAUUGUCUGGCAUUACACAGAGUGCAUUAGGGCAUAAUGCAACUUUGAGUGGCAGCACUCUCCCCCUGACAAGUAAAAUCAUCUGGUGUUAGACAGAGUAAAAUAAUAAACUAGGGCACGUUGCCACUUAAAAGGUUAACAAUUGGUUAAUUACUUGAAAAAAAGCAAUACUACAUAUUUUGGGCUAAUGGAUGUAUAGAAACGUUAAUUAAACAGGCUUUUGGGUUGUUACCCUUGAACUAUAAUUUUUAACAUCUUUGUUUUAUAUUUACAAUAUGUGAGGUGUUGUUAAUUACUAGUGAAAUAAUGAAGGGAAAUAAUAAAGUUGGGUGCAUUUGGAUGUAUUGCAGCUUAAUUAAUAAAUAAGUUAAUAAGACACAUUUGGCCGAGCUAGCAGAUAGUUUGGUUAGGUGGACUUCAUGACUUUGACUCUUGCACCUCACUUGGUGGAAUCAACGUUGAUUCCACCAAGUGAGGUGCAAGAGUCUAAGUCAUGAAGUCCACCUAAACCUGCACACCCGAUUACCUAUACAUACAUGAACUUACGGUUACAGCUUAACAGCUGGCCUCUGUAGCUCAGUUGGUUCGAGUGCUGCACCGGAAUCGCAGGGCCGUAGGUUCAAUUCCUACCAGAGGACCUUGUGCUGCAUUUUUCGCAGUCGUUCCUGGUUAGGUCUUACAAUGUAUAUAUUCUCACUUGGAUUCCAAACCCUAACAUUCUGAUAGUUUGGUUAACCAUUAAUGUGCAAGAUUCUCCCCUUGAGAAGUAAACAACAUUCAACAGAGUAAAAUAAUAAAGUUGGGUACAUUUAGCUGUAUUGUAGCUUAAUGGGUUAGUAUGCAAAAUAUGAGUGUUAGCCUGUAUAAAAUGCAAAUCAUUUUUACAAUGAUCAAAAGGAACUACGGAAGCACUAGCCUCAAUAUAUAUUAAUUCUUAAAGGCAAACAUCUGUUCAUGAGUAGCUUAGCCUGCGAAAAGGCUCUCAAGCUGAAUUUAGAGCCUGCAUCGAUGACUAAUGAAUUUGAAUAUCUGCCCCGUAACGUUCGUUUUUCCAAAUAUGGAAUGUCUAUCCUUAUAUGGUGUUGUUUACAACUUUCGUGCACACUAAAUUUAGACUGUGCAAACUAAAUUUAGACCGUACAGUUUAUACUGUUUUUCGAAAUAUUAGAUAUUGGCAAGGAAAAGUUUAAAUGUUUUAAGUUAAAUACUGUUUUCUCAAAACAGAACAUUUCGUGCUUUGAGAUAAGAUGGCCAAGACCAAUUUGAUCAGUUGCUUCAGCAGUUGACAUAUAUCGAGCUCAGCGGAAACAUAUAAAUUAUAGCAUCUGACCAAUGAGAAUUUCGCGUCACGAUUUGAGAUGCAGAUAUUAAUUUCAUUAGUCAUCGAUGCAGGCUCUCAAUUCAGCUUGAGAGCCUGUUCGCAGGCUAUGAGUAGCUAGGAUAUCCAAUCAUAUAACUUCGGGGGGACAUGAAAAUAAUUAUUGUAGAAUAAUUUUUGUACUCUAUACACAUGGCACUCACUUUGCUUAUUUAAAAUUUAACUUCAGUUGCCUAAUUACGUACAUUUAAUUGCCAUGCAGACUUUAGAAAUGCCCAUAUUGUGUUAUAUUGUAUAUGCCUUUAUGCAUUGUAGGGAUUGUAAUGUUGUAGUUGAACACUUCUAUUAAUAACCUAUUCUGUGUACAUGCAUGCACAUGCAAACUAUAACUAUUGGCACCAAUUACUCUUAGUCUCAGACCUCGCACGCGGUCCACCUGCGCGCCAAGGCAACAGAACAACCAUGAGCUUAUCAACUACAGUAUAUUACAGGGAUCAAUACAAUUAGGUGAAAAUUAUGUGCAGUUAAACUGUGAAAAUAGUUUUUAUGAAGUCCCUUACCCCUUUUGCCAUGAUCUGGGAUUAUCCACAGGCAAACAUGCAGAAAAUAGCUUUAUGUAGAAUUAACCCUUUAUAGCCAGCAAGCUUGGACAAAAAAAUCAUUACAUUUAAAUUUUGUAUGUUAAUUGUUGCAAUUAAGAAAUAUGUCCAGUAUGGGCAAAUAGUCUGGUUAGCUAUAUUAAUAGAGAGGUUCAGAUUUGACUUCCACUACCGCUAUACCAUUAAGGAACCAUUAACCAAUCAGAUGCACUUGAUAUAUCCAAUUAACUAAUCAGAUGCGUUCUAAGCUAGUGAGAGGUAGUGGUAGCAGUGCCGGUAGUGGAAGUCAAAUCUGAACCUCGCUAUUUCCAGAACUUUUCCUGUAUGUAAAAUUUCCCUGGUAAGAAAAUGUAAAAUAAAACAGUGGUACAAAUUGAGUGUUCAUGAACAGAGAUCAGUUUUGAACAGAGAUCAGUUUUGAACAGUAUACCUGUAGUUAAUUGACUGGUACCUGUAAAGUUGUCUGGCAUUAAUCAGUCGAGAGUAAAAUAAUGAAGCAGAGUGCAUGAUCAGGGCGCUUUGUCAGAGGCAUUCUUAGACAGCCUUGAACUCGAUCAGGUUGAGCUGUGUCCUUUGCAAUAGACCUUUCCCCUUAUGAGUGAAAUUUUGAUCUAGAUAUGCCUGGACAAAAAUUUCAUCACAGCUUGAAAGAGCAUCACAAAUUACACAAAAAUUAAAUUAGUAAUAUUCCGAAGUUUCGUUGUGAAAUGUUGUAAAAUGCAGAUAAUAUAGCCUUGCGAAGUUUGCCGUUUUUCAGUCAUUUUGCAUUACAAACGGGAAAUUGAUAAUCAGAUGAUCAAACUGAUUAUCAAUUUCCCAUUUUUAAUACAAAAUGACUGAAAAACGGCAAACUUCGCAAGGCUAUAUUAUCCGCAGUUUACAACAUUUUGCAACGAAACUUUGGAAUAUUACUAAUUUUGUGAUGCUCUUGCAAGCUGUGAUGAAAUUUUUGUCCAGACUUGUCUAGAUCAAAAUUUCACUCAAAAGGGGAAAGAUCUAUUCAGCUUACACUGUAGCUCUCAGCUGCAAGUAGGGAUGAUUAGCAUACCCCCACUGUCUUACUUGCUUAAUUUACUUACUUACAGUAGAGCCUGCAGUUUUUUCAGAGCCAGCAGUUUUUUGCCUGAUCAUUUAGUAAGACCAUCAAAACAAUAUACAUGCAACCAUUCUUUUUGUAACUAGUUACACAGUAUGUCAAACAUAUGAAAAUAUGCGAAGCAAAAGCAAGAGUUAGACUAUGAUGUAUGGAUUGAGUUAUGUCAAUUGUUAACACGAAGUGAAUUACAAUUAUCUUAACCAGAAAAUAAUCUUCAAAAUUGCGAUCAGUCAUCUCGCACUGUAGCGGCAUAUGAAAAAUAAUGAAAAAUUGUGCGCAAAAUUGAGCGACAACUACAGUAUAUCAGCUGCAUGUGUGUGGUCGCAACUUGGGAUAAAACCUCUUUUCCAUCAGUUGGAUAUCGCAGAUAUAAAAUAAUGACAGUGCUAUCGAUGCCAGAAUGUAACUACUGACUGUAUAGUUAUCAUUGAUUUUUGUACAUUUUACGCCUAGCCACAGUCGGGCCCUAAAAUAUCUUUUGCAGGGCCAUCUGACAAAAUGUCCAAUUACUUUGAAUUUGGGUUGGACAAAUGUUUUAUGAUGUCUGAUGACCCUCAGUUCAGUUUGGCUCGGAAAUAAGCAUGAAUGACACAAAUUAAUACCAGCACAAUGUAUUGUAUUAUGUUGUGAAGAUAUUAAAUCAUUUGUGUCAUUCAUACUUUUUUCCAAGGUAAAAUUAACUUGCCUGCCAAGAACAACAGCUGCACGGUAAGACUUUUAUGCCCGGUUUUUUACUUCACCAUUUCGCUCGCUACCCUGCACUCGAUUAGAUUAAAACAUCAUUUCCUGUUCACUUUUUAUAUCCAAUACUGUAUGAAUCUCCAUUUAACAUACGAGCCUCUAGUCUCUGACUAGGGUACAUUUUGAUUUACGUUGGACAAAGUUACACCAAUUCACGGAGUCGGACAAACAAUAAACGUUAGUUUCACUUAAGUCGGACAAGAUGUCCAAUGGCUUCCUCUCUAUAUGUCGGACGAUUUCACGAAUGGGUUGGACAGUGUCCGUGACCGACCGAUAUUUUAAGGCCUUACCACAGUUAGAAGUUACCUUCCCAAAAAAGUACCAAGCUACAGUAUACCUCAAGAGUUACUCAAAAAGUAACGAUUACGCGUGUAACUAUAGUUACUUGCAUAUAACGAUUACGCGUGUAACUAGUUACUUUAAAAAGUAGAGUCAAAACAACUCUACUUAAGGAAUAUAAAUUGCUCAAAAAAAUGGAGUAAAAAAGGAGUAAAAUUUACUCCAAAAAAAAUAGUCGUUCUGUACCUUUUUUAUUUACUCCACUUUUGGAGUCAAUUGCUAUUUCUAGGCAAAAGAAAGUGCAGACCUUUUCAGUGGCAUGAUCACUGUUACGUACUUGUUUUGUUCCAGAAAGAGGAUUUACCUCAUAGCCAUUUCAGUUAAUGAACAGAUGGCUGUUUUUCAGUGGAAUUUUUCCCCAAGUGAAGUUUCGCUCCACAUCGUACCACUUUGUUACUGUAGAUUUUAGGAUCUUGUGGAACCAGGAGGGCAAUUAUAUCUGUCACUCUCUUAAUUGCAUCCUACAAAAUUUGAGGCCGCAAAUCCAGGCCAUUGUUUUCUCCAUCGUAGGUAUAGGCAUAUUUUUUGGGAACCUUCAAUUUUAUAAUGUGCAUAUACGUACAUGCUAUGAAAUAACUUAACCCCGCGUCCGGCCUCAUCCUGUACCAUUUCCCCUUGUCUCUUGUAUAGGCAAUGCAAAGAGAAAUAAUUUUGUGGCCCAAUAUCAUCUAAAUAUUACAAUUGAAUGGAGAGUCUACCUUUAAUAAGUAAACUCGUUUAUAACAUGCAUCUCAUAAUUUAAUGCAGUAAAGUAUUUCCUCGAAAAUAUCAGUAUGGCCCCAGGGCUGGGGGUCAUUUUUCUGUGGAAUUUUGCAUGAGAGCAAUCUUUACAUCUUGGGGGAAAUAUUUUAUCUGCCACGUUUGUCUUAAUUGUACAGUAUUAAAUCUAAUUGUUUUCAUUUUUGAGUGUUUCUUGACCUCUGCCUUGUUGCAGGCCUCUGCCUCGAAACGUUGGGUCCUCAUUACAAUUUGACUGGGCUUUGUAAUCAUUUAUUUAAACCAGAGUAGCGAGCGAAACAUGAUUGAUAUACCUGGUUGCAGUGAACGAACAAACUUUAAAUCUCUACCUUGUCGUUGUAGAGAACUGUGUAUGCAUGGUUAAGGUUUUGCAUCGGUGUGCCAUUCCUGCUGUGGUCCACAAAACUAAAUUGUCAAUUUGUGAAACUUGAUAAAAAUUCGUUGAUAGCAAGAUUCGUUUUUGGUUAGUCUUUUCAGAUAUCCUGCUGUGCUUAGAUGACCUGAAACACAGAGCACCGCACGAGACUGACGGGAACAUUAAUUUUCUGAAGAAUUUUUUGGAGGCACCCCAAGUCUCAUCUCUAUUAGAG